Molecule: ribosomal RNA, 442 nt
Filed under: uncultured Bacillota bacterium
Lineage: Bacteria; Bacillati; Bacillota
Description: bacterial SSU rRNA
Rfam family: Bacterial small subunit ribosomal RNA
Source: RNAcentral
GGGCCCGCACAAGCGGUGGAGCAUGUGGUUUAAUUCGAAGCAACGCGAAGAACCUUACCAAGGCUUGACAUCCUUCUUGAUACUGUAGAGAUACAGUAGCCCUUCGGGGGAGAAGAGACAGGUGGUGCAUGGUUGUCGUCAGCUCGUGUCGUGAGAUGUUGGGUUAAGUCCCGCAACGAGCGCAACCCUUAUCUUUAGUAGCCAGUGCGUAGAGGCAGGCACUCUAGAGAGACUGCCGUGGAUAACACGGAGGAAGGUGGGGAUGACGUCAAAUCAUCAUGCCCCUUAUGUCUUGGGCAACACACGUGCUACAAUGGCGCAUACAAAGUGAAGCAAAGUCGUGAGGCGGAGCAAAACACAAAAGUGCGUCUCAGUUCGGAUUGUAGUCUGCAACUCGACUACAUGAAGCUGGAAUCGCUAGUAAUCGCAAAUCAGCAUGUUG